This 494-nucleotide ribosomal RNA is filed under the name uncultured bacterium. RNAcentral describes it as "partial 16S ribosomal RNA". It matches the Rfam family "Bacterial small subunit ribosomal RNA", at positions 28 to 507 of the family's 1533-position model. The record is from RNAcentral.
GACGAACGCUGGCGGCGUGCUUAACACAUGCAAGUCGAACAGAAAGGCCUGCUUUCCCUUGUGGAUUGCGGGUACUCGAGUGGCGAACGGGUGAGUAACACGUGAGUGAUCUGCCCCCAACUUGGGUAUAAGCCUGGGAAACUGGGUCUAAUUCCCGAUAGGACUGCAGGGUGGUGCCUGUGGUGGAAAACGAUUUUCUAGUGGUUGGGGAUGAGCUCGCGGCCUAUCAGCUUGUUGGUGGGGUAAUGGCCUACCAAGGCGGCGACGGGUAGCCGGCCUGGGAGGGUGGACGGGCACAUUGGGACUGAGAUACGGCCCAGACUACUACGGGAGGCAGCCGUGGGGAAUAUUGCACAAUGGGCGGAAGCCUGAUGCAGCGACGCCGCGUGGGGGAUGACGGCCUUCGGGUUGUAAACUCCUUUCGACCGCGAGGAAGCCACCUGGUUGGAAGGGUGGUGACGGUAGUGGUAGAAGAAGCACCGGCUAACUACGUG